GACGAACGCUGGCGGCGUGCCUAAUACAUGCAAGUCGAACGCUUCUUUCCUCCCGAGUGCUUGCACUCAAUUGGAAAGAGGAGUGGCGGACGGGUGAGUAACACGUGGGUAACCUACCCAUCAGAGGGGGAUAACACUUGGAAACAGGUGCUAAUACCGCAUAACAGUUUAUGCCGCAUGGCAUAAGAGUGAAAGGCGCUUUCGGGUGUCGCUGAUGGAUGGACCCGCGGUGCAUUAGCUAGUUGGUGAGGUAACGGCUCACCAAGGCCACGAUGCAUAGCCGACCUGAGAGGGUGAUCGGCCACACUGGGACUGAGACACGGCCCAGACUCCUACGGGAGGCAGCAGUAGGGAAUCUUCGGCAAUGGACGAAAGUCUGACCGAGCAACGCCGCGUGAGUGAAGAAGGUUUCCGGAUCGUAAAACUCUGUUGUUAGAGAAGAACAAGGACGUUAGUAACUGAACGUCCCCUGACGGUAUCUAACCAGAAAGCCACGGCUAACUACGUG
RNAcentral lists this ribosomal RNA (508 nucleotides) under uncultured bacterium. Its description in RNAcentral is "partial 16S ribosomal RNA". It matches the Rfam family "Bacterial small subunit ribosomal RNA", at positions 28 to 507 of the family's 1533-position model. The record is from RNAcentral.